UAAUACCAGGGUUCAAAGGUACAAAUCCGAUUGUGCUUGCACAAGAAGGAUUUGGAACUUGGAACCCGCAAACCACGAGCAUGCAGCGCUAUUGCGCGGAAUGAGAGUGGUUUAGGAUUACGUGAGCAUCGUUAGAUGCGUAGUAAUCCGUGGUAUUU
RNAcentral lists this small RNA (158 nucleotides) under Lachnospiraceae bacterium. Its description in RNAcentral is "Clostridiales-1 RNA". It matches the Rfam family "Clostridiales-1 RNA". The record is from Rfam by way of RNAcentral. Lineage: Bacteria; Bacillati; Bacillota; Clostridia; Lachnospirales; Lachnospiraceae.